This 250-nucleotide ribosomal RNA is filed under the name uncultured prokaryote. Its description in RNAcentral is "partial 16S ribosomal RNA". It matches the Rfam family "Bacterial small subunit ribosomal RNA", at positions 524 to 772 of the family's 1533-position model. The record is from RNAcentral.
UACGUAGGGUGCGAGCGUUAAUCGGAAUUAUUGGGCGUAAAGAGCUCGUAGGCGGCUCAGCAAGUCGGCUGUGAAAUCCCGAGGCUCAACCUCGGAACUGCAGUCGAUACUGCUGUGGCUCGAGUCUGGUAGAGGAGAGUGGAAUUCCCGGUGUAGCGGUGAAAUGCGCAGAUAUCGGGAGGAACACCAGUAGCGAAGGCGGCUCUCUGGGCCAGCACUGACGCUGAGGCUCGAAAGCGUGGGGAGCAAA